Molecule: small nuclear RNA, 108 nt
Organism: Erinaceus europaeus (western European hedgehog)
Lineage: Eukaryota; Metazoa; Chordata; Mammalia; Eulipotyphla; Erinaceidae
Source: Ensembl
GUGUUUUCUUUUAGCAGCACAUUUACUAAAAUUGGCAUGAUACAGAGAAGACAAGUAUAGUGUUUGUUCAUGGAUAACUUGCAAGUUUGUGACAUUGUCCAUAUAUAU